GUCAUUUACAUAUGGAUAAUUUUGGAAUGGUGAAUUGUCAUUUGUAUCUGAAAACAAAUUUCAGAUCUAUUCAGGCCCUCUCUGAAGCAAGUACUUUGUGUCAGCAGAGAGCUAUGUCAGGAAGAUGGAACAGCAUCAGACAUUGUAUGCAUUAACUAUGGUGACUAUGGAGAAGUUCAACUUCUCACAUCCAGUAUAUUACUUCUACCACAAUGUUACAGGGUAAGAUCCAAUUUUUUAAUCAAUGCCUUGGAAAUUGUUUACAGAUAAUGAGUGCCUUUUCUCACUUGAAAAUACACAGAGCUCCUGGGAUCAAGUUGACUCAUGACAGAAGAGAGCACAGCUUGAAUCAGGGAACAACACAGCACCAUGGCAGAAGUAAUCUGCAGCCCAUCAUCUGCACAGACCAGAAGGAAAACGUAUGUUUUAAAGGCAUUUCAGAGAUGUGUUCAACUUCCGUAGUUCCUAUGCAAUAUGGAAUAUCUCCAGAAUCACUCUAGAACAAGAAUCUAUGUUUAGUAAGUCAGUAGACUUUGUUUUCAAGUUUGAAAGUAAGUAUUUAUUUGAUGCUCUCAAGUACCUGGUUUUGUUUUGUGUUUGUUUUUUUUUUUAUAAAUGGCAUGUUUCUUUGUUUCUUGUCAUUGAUUCUUCCGCUCACCACACUGAAACAUCUGUUACUAGGUUAUUUGCGUGUGAUCUUUGGACUUUCAAUUGAAGAAACUAGCCAGAAAGCUAGGGUCCACUUUCCAGCUUGUUUGUCAUGUCCAGUGCUUAAAAAAAAUUAAGAUCUUGCUGAUAUACGUAAAUGCAUAAUGUCUGGGAGCUUACUUUAUAAGGAAAUACAUAAGAGCUAAGUUAAAAUGCAUUAUUAACAGACUGCAUCCAUCUCACAGGUACCUAAGAUUAAAGAACGGUGAAUUCUCUGUGAAGAAAAGCCUAAAAAUCAUAUAACAAGGGGGAAUGGUUUUAAACUAAGACAGGGGAGGUUUAGAUUAGAUAUUAGGAGGAAGUUCUUCGCACAGAGGGUGUUGACCCGCUGGAACAGGUUGCCCAAGGAGGUUGUGGAUGCCCUGUCCCUGGAGGCAUUCAAGGCCUGGGCAGCCUGGUCUGAUGGUUGGUGACCCUGCACAUAGCAGGGGGGUUAAAACUAGACGAUCAUUAUGGUCCUUUUCAACCCCGGCUAUUCUAUGAUUCUAUGAUAAGCAUAGAAUAACAGGAGUUAGACGGGACUUCUGGAGAUCAUUGAGUCCAACCCCAUUGCUAAAGCAGGUUCUCUACAGCAGGUUGCACUACAAAGCAUCCAGGCAGGUUUUGAAUAUCUCCAGAGGAGACUCCACAACCUCUUUGGACAACCUGUUCCAAUGCUCUGUAAUCAGGUGGAUCAUGUUUUUUCUAUACUGACCUCUCAUGACGGCUGUCCUACAAAACUGAAAAUAUGAAAGUUCGUGAGUGCACUCCCCAGAUAAGCCCAAAUGAAAUGACAUUUUUGAAGCAGUUCUUGGGAACAAAAUUAACCAUGAGUCUAUCAUUUUCUUGUUUAAGUGUAACACUCAUUUAAAUGAUUUAGUUUCCCUUUUAGACAUUUAUUUCUACAUACACAAGCUGCCCUCACUCAUCCUAUACAUGCAAACAUAAACAAAUUAAUUAAUUGUUUUCUCCAAUGGUCAUUAAAAGAGUGAGAGAGAUUAUUUGUUUCUAAAUAUUUGAAGCUACUGCUACAGGGAUGUGAUAAUUACCAGACUGACAAGAAAGAAGGCAGCUUUAAAAUGGGAAUAGACACCAUAUUUGCUUGAAUUCCAUAAUAGAAUCUGCAGUAUAAUUUUAUCAUUUUUCCCAUGAAGGCUCUCAGGAGAAAGCUUUGUAGUGUAAGACAAAUCACAUGCCAGGUAUAGUGUCCAAGCACAAACAACUUUUAGAAGAGUGGUUUUCUUCCUAAGGAGGAAUUCAUCAGAUUUGUGGGUGCAUUUCUGGAUGACUGUUUUGGUAUCAAUCAUACUAAGGAAGUCUGAAGAACUUCUAGAAGCUAAAUUCAGAUGGCAAUAAUGAGAAAAGGAAAUGUGGAAAUGUCAAAAGGCAGAUCUGGAAUAAAAUAUCUGGGCCAUUACGUCCCACUACCUCCACCGAUUGCAAAGUAAGAUCUCAAUAGAAAUGUCAAAAUCUCCCUUCUUUAAUACAUUUGCUCUUGAUUCUCCUCCUUAAAGGCUGUUCAUUACUUUUCUAAAUGUUCUUCUGAUUUUCAGGCAAAUUUAAUAUAUGUCCAGUUAAAACCAGUUUGUUUUUGUGACAGCUUUACCCUCUCUGUAGAUAACUCUUUUCUGUUUUCUGUGAUGUAUUAUUGGCAGCAGCUGUUCUCAUCAUAGGCUGAGCUCAGUAGUCUCUCAUCAUAUUGGUUGUUCUUCAGGAAUCUCUACUCCCUUUCCUCUGCAAGUCUUUUAUUUUGAUUCCACCUCUCCGGAUGUUUCAUAUUGUACACCAUAUGAAGCUGAGUGGUUGUGAUUUGGAAUGGGGCUGCAAAUUGACAAGACCUUGCAGUGCACAUCUAUGGAUUGCUCUUGAAGCAGUUAGUUUCACUGUUACAGAUCCACUGUUAUGUUAUGUUGUGCUCAGUUCCUUUUCCCUAGUCAUUAAACUCCGUCUCAUGUCAUUUCCUAUUCACAGAAUCACAGAUUAAUCUAUUCACUUCCUCGUGUCCUCUCUUCUUUUAUGAAGAACUUACCAGAUCUUAGCCAUUUGUAGCAUGAGGGAUUUCCCCAGUACAUUUCUAUCUUUUGUCUUAAGAGCAUCUCUCUUCGUUGAUAUCAAAAUAGUUUGUCUCUUUGGUUUCCCGUAAAAUCAGUUAUCACAUUAAAGAAAUUUUCCUUAUGUCAUCUAUGUUUUGUAAAUUACUUUUGCCCCUUCCAUUUACCAUAAAAUUCAAAUUAGAAGAUCCUUUUAAGAAAGAGUUCCAUUAAAAAGGGGAAGCAAAUCUCUGAAUUCUUGCAAAUCAAAACUGGUGAUGCAGACUAGGAAGAAACUUGUGUACAAGUUUCUGUAAUUUCAUUCCUUGUAUGCGUGAAUUGUUCUGAUUUGAAUGGAUACACAACACUUUGCUUUGACAUUGGUUUACAGUCACUUUAAGCAGGAAUUCCAAGCAGAGACAAACCUGUUCAAUUAAUAGCGAAUACACAGAGGGAAGGAGAGAACCACUGCAAGGGGGAAACUGCCUGUUGCUAAGAGCUGCUCUUGUCAAGGAAACAGAGAUUUGCAAAGCACAUCCCUCCCUGUGACAGGAACAGCUACAUGUCUCCAAAUGUCUCAGAGAAUAGGAAGAAAUAACAUCUGGUCUACUGGGACACAUUGCUGUUCACUGACAGGAGUUUUGAAAGAAAUUAGUGUAGAAGUUUAUAUAAGAGCAGGCAAGUAGAUACAGAACCCAAUACGUCAGAGCAAGAUUCUUGACUUGAAUACGUAAGUUCUACAGUGAUACAAAUUAUUAUUCUCAUCAUUAUUAAUGAUAUGAAUAAUAAUUGCAUUAUCAAUAUUUAUAGUGAAACAUAAGCUUUAAAAUUGUUCACUGCCUACCCUUGUCUGGGUCAGACGCAGAGUAAUCUUUAGCCACUGUUCUAAACCAGACCUCAAGCAUAUCUUUAUAUGUCCCCUAUGCACACCCACUUACAGAUGUCAGCAGCUUCCACUCCAGGGAAAAUGUUUUUACUUCCGCUACAAUAUGAAUACAGUUCUCACCCGUGUCCCUAAGGCACUGUUGGCUUUCCUUAUGCCCUUUAUUUGCAGCAUUACAAUAGCGUUAGAAAUUAAAUGAUUCUUCCUGAAAUUUCAAAUAAAUAACUAAAUACUCAUCUGCUUCAUCUAAUCUCUCUUAAAAAAAAAAAAAUCUAAAAACUUCUUUUCAAAGAAACACUAUGUUCUGAGCAACAGAUCUCUUAUUUUAGAUGAGCUCCCCUCUCACUUCACAGAGGUCAAUGUGCUGCAAUGUUAUGACAAUGGACAACUGUCUUACAUUAUUUUUUAAGGUACUAUCAGCAGCCAAGCAGUAAGGCUGCUUGGAGCAGCAUUCU
Molecule: long non-coding RNA, 4055 nt
Filed under: Meleagris gallopavo (turkey)
Lineage: Eukaryota; Metazoa; Chordata; Aves; Galliformes; Phasianidae
Description: lncRNA (ENSMGAG00000021946.1)
Source: RNAcentral